AGGACGAACGCUGGCGGCGUGCUUAACACAUGCAAGUCGAGCGGAAAGGCCCUUCGGGGUACUCGAGCGGCGAACGGGUGAGUAACACGUGAGUAAUCUGCCCCUAGCUCUGGGAUAGCUCCGGGAAACCGGGAUUAAUACCAGAUACGACCACUUUAGACAUCUUCUGUGGUGGAAAGAACUUCGGCUAGGGAUGAACUCGCGGCCUAUCAGCUUGUUGGUGAGGUAACGGCUCACCAAGGCGACGACGGGUAGCCGGCCUGAGAGGGCGACCGGCCACACUGGGACUGAGACACGGCCCAGACUCCUACGGGAGGCAGCAGUGGGGAAUAUUGCGCAAUGGGCGAAAGCCUGACGCAGCGACGCCGCGUGGGGGAUGAAGGCCUUCGGGUUGUAACCCCUUUCAGCAGGGACGAGCGAAAGUGACGGUACCUGCAGAAGAAGCGCCGGCUAACUACGCGCCAGCAGCCGC
Molecule: ribosomal RNA, 472 nt
Filed under: uncultured bacterium
Lineage: Bacteria
Description: SSU rRNA
Rfam family: Bacterial small subunit ribosomal RNA
Source: RNAcentral